AGGGUUUUUCCACGUCCAAAUAAUAUUUAAUGAUGAAUUUUUUAGGUGCACCUUUAAUUCUGUUGCAACCUUAUGCAGGCUUUUUUCUUAUAAAGAUUGAUCAUAUUAAAAAAUAAAAAAAGAUGUACCAUUUGACGAUGUUUAGAGCCUCAGCCCUAUACAAACACAUGAAAAUUCACGCGCCCGUUCUUGGAGUACCGCGAUGCUGCAGAAGAAAAAACCUCUUUCGGGAAUAAAAAAACGAAAUGAAAACACAAAUUAGAACUUCUUAGAGAGGAAACACUCCAUUUUUCCCCAUUCAUCUCAUCAAUUUCCUUUGAUUUGGGAAAAAAGCCCCAGAGAUACGCAGAGUUUCUUCUAUUUGCCCUAAUUCUUCUUCCAGUAUCAUUUUGUUCCCCUUUGCACUUGAAGUUGCAGGCGUCGCCUGUUGCUCCUGGUAAGCACAAUUUCUCUAUCUAC
Molecule: long non-coding RNA, 459 nt
Filed under: Amborella trichopoda
Lineage: Eukaryota; Viridiplantae; Streptophyta; Magnoliopsida; Amborellales; Amborellaceae
Description: long non-coding RNA (ATRI_LNC002128)
Source: RNAcentral